This 869-nucleotide ribosomal RNA is filed under the name uncultured bacterium. Its description in RNAcentral is "bacterial SSU rRNA". It matches the Rfam family "Bacterial small subunit ribosomal RNA", at positions 55 to 916 of the family's 1533-position model. The record is from RNAcentral.
AUGCGAGUCGAGCGGAAACGAUCCUAGCUUGCUAGGAGGCGUCGAGCGGCGGACGGGUGAGUAAUGCAUAGGAAUCUGCCCGGUAGUGGGGGAUAACCUGGGGAAACCAGGCUAAUACCGCAUACGCCCUACGGGGGAAAGCAGGGGAUCUUCGGACCUUGCGCUAUUGGAUGAGCCUAUGUCGGAUUAGCUUGUUGGUGAGGUAAAGGCUCACCAAGGCUGCGAUCCGUAGCUGGUCUGAGAGGAUGAUCAGCCACAUCGGGACUGAGACGCGGCCCGAACUCCUACGGGAGGCAGCAGUGGGGAAUAUUGGACAAUGGGCGAAAGCCUGAUCCAGCCAUGCCGCAUGUGUGAAGAAGGCUUUCGGGUUGUAAAGCACUUUCAGUGAGGAAGAACGCCUUCGGAUUAAUACUCCGGAGGAAAGACAUCACUCACAGAAGAAGCACCGGCUAACUCCGUGCCAGCAGCCGCGGUAAUACGGAGGGUGCGAGCGUUAAUCGGAAUUACUGGGCGUAAAGCGCGCGUAGGUGGCUUGAUAAGCCGGUUGUGAAAGCCCCGGGCUCAACCUGGGAACGGCAUCCGGAACUGUCAGGCUAGAGUGCAGGAGAGGAAGGUAGAAUUCCCGGUGUAGCGGUGAAAUGCGUAGAGAUCGGGAGGAAUACCAGUGGCGAAGGCGGCCUUCUGGACUGACACUGACACUGAGGUGCGAAAGCGUGGGUAGCAAACAGGAUUAGAUACCCUGGUAGUCCACGCCGUAAACGAUGUCGACUAGCCGUUGGGUUCCUAGAGAACUUUGUGGCGCAGUUAACGCGAUAAGUCGACCGCCUGGGGAGUACGGCCGCAAGGUUAAAACUCAAAGGAAUUGACGG